UCAAACUUGAGAUGGCACUGUGAGCUGUUGACAAUUGUGAUGCCAGCCACUACGACAUUUGAAGAACCAUAGAACCUCAAUGCCUGCAUCAGAGUUUAACCCGUGGCAUCCUUUCAAGCUCCUGAUUGUACUGCUGGAAUGUAUCCAAGGAGACCGUGAUUCCUCAGAAAGGAAAAAAAUAAAAGAAAAGCCGUACGAGCUUGGAGUAUGGACAUGUGAACAACAGAAGAAUCCAAAAAUACACAAAUAAAAAAUUUCCGGAAUGAAGCAUACACAAUUUAUUCACGAGCGGGGAGGAAUAGUUUCGGCACCAGAUUUUGUGGGGGAAACAAAUCGGCCAUGGUCCAAGAGAUCACGUGCAAUUAGACCGCCAGUAUGUCCAGUUUGGCAGCUAAUCCAAAAUCCAUAUGCCAUUAUGGAGGUUAUCGAGGUGAUGUGUUCUUCAUAUCGUAAGACCCACUCGUCAAUAGGACAUUUUCCCCCCAAGCUCUUAUAUGGAUGGUCAUUCUGCCGAUCGGCUUAAUAUGAGGACUCUACUAGAGCACAUGCAUCUCGCUGAAACAAUAUGCUUGUGUUAUGUUUGCGGCUCUAAGAAACAAUGAAGGAAGUAAUAAGUAAACAAGAAUGUCAUCUCAGGCAAAGCUAAGAGCUCACUUGCUUCCCAGAAUUUAGUACACAGAAUGCUUUACCCGGUAUCCUCGGUGGUUUUGCGCCCGUGUUCAAUGAUAGAGAGAGUUUGCUGUACGUUUAUUUAAUCUACUAGAAAGAGGAGUCAUCCCAGAUCCCCUCUCUUUUGUUUUUA
This is a long non-coding RNA of Hordeum vulgare subsp. vulgare (domesticated barley), 802 nucleotides long. RefSeq lists it as uncharacterized. Lineage: Eukaryota; Viridiplantae; Streptophyta; Magnoliopsida; Poales; Poaceae. The record is from RefSeq and is a predicted model, not a curated record. The transcript has 4 exons.